RNAcentral lists this ribosomal RNA (414 nucleotides) under uncultured microorganism. RNAcentral's name for it is "bacterial SSU rRNA". It matches the Rfam family "Archaeal small subunit ribosomal RNA", at positions 459 to 872 of the family's 1478-position model. The record is from RNAcentral.
CAGCCGCCGCGGUAAUACCGGCGGCCCGAGUGGCGGCCACUAUUAUUGGGCUUAAAGCGUCCGUAGCCGGGUUGGUUAGUCUCCCGGGAAAUCUGGCCGCUUAACGGUCAGAAUUCCGGGAGAUACUGCCAGCCUAGGGACCGGGAGAGGCCGAGGGUAUUCCCGGAGUAGGGGUGAAAUCCUAUAAUCCCGGGAGGACCACCUGUGGCGAAGGCGCUCGGCUGGAACGGGUCCGACGGGGAGGGACGAAGGCCAGGGGAGCGAACCGGAUUAGAUACCCGGGUAGUCCUGGCGGUAAACGAUGCGGACUAGGUGUCGGGCAAGCUAAGGGCUUGUCCGGUGCCGCAGGGAAGCCGUUAAGUCCGCCGCCUGGGGAGUACGGCCGCAAGGCUGAAACUUAAAGGAAUUGGCGGG